AUUGAACGCUAGCGGGAUGCUUUACACAUGCAAGUCGAACGGAGUGGCGGACGGGUGAGUAAUAUAUCGGAACGUGCCAAGUAGCGGGGGAUAAAUACUCGAAAGAGUGGCUAAUACCGCAUAAUAUUGGAGCGGCCGAUAUCGGAUUAGCUAGUUGGUGGUGUAACGGAUCACCAAGGCAACGAACCGUAGCCGGUUUGAGAGGACGACCAUCCAGACUGGUACUGAGACACGGCCCGUAUUCCUACGGGAGGCAGCAGUGGUGAAUAUUGGACAAUGGGGGAAACCAGGAGCGAGCCAACCCGCGUGUAUGAGGAAGGCUUGCGGGUUGUAAAGGACUGUUGGCAGAGAAGCGGUAUCUGCAGAAUAAGCACCGGCUAACUCCGUGCCAGCAGCCGCGGUAAUAC
This 407-nucleotide ribosomal RNA is filed under the name uncultured bacterium. RNAcentral's name for it is "partial 16S ribosomal RNA". It matches the Rfam family "Bacterial small subunit ribosomal RNA", at positions 30 to 526 of the family's 1533-position model. The record is from RNAcentral.